This 253-nucleotide ribosomal RNA is filed under the name uncultured bacterium. Its description in RNAcentral is "partial 16S ribosomal RNA". It matches the Rfam family "Bacterial small subunit ribosomal RNA", at positions 524 to 776 of the family's 1533-position model. The record is from RNAcentral.
UACGGGGGGGGCAAGCGUUGUUCGGAAUUACUGGGCGUAAAGGGCUUGUAGGUGGCCAACUAAGUCCGACGUGAAAUCCCUAGGCUUAACCUAGGAACUGCGUCGGAUACUGGAUGGCUUGAAUCUGGGAGAGGGAUGCGGAAUUCCAGGUGUAGCGGUGAAAUGCGUAGAUAUCUGGAGGAACACCGGUGGCGAAGGCGGCAUCCUGGACCGGUAUUGACACUGAAAAGCGAAAGCCAGGGGAGCAAACGGG